AAUACGGAGGAUGCGAGCGUUAUCCGGAUUUAUUGGGCUUAAAGGGUGCGUAGGCGGAUAGAUAAGUCAGUGGUGAAAUUCUGCAGCUUAACUGUAGACUUGCCGUUGAUACUGUCAGUCUUGAGUAUGGUCAAGGCAGGCGGAAUGUGUAAUGUAGCGGUGAAAUGCUUAGAUAUUACACAGAACACCGAUUGCGAAGGCAGCUUGCUGGGCCAUUACUGACGCUGAUGCACGAAAGCGUGGGGAUCGAACAGGAUUAGAUACCCUGGUAGUCCACGCCGUAAACGAUGAUCACUCGCUGUUGGCGAUACACAGUCAGCGGCUAAGCAAAAGCAUUAAGUGAUCCACCUGGGGAGUACGGCCGCAAGGCUGAAACUCAAAGGAAUUGACGGGGGCCCGCACAAGCGGAGGAACAUGUGGUUUAAUUCGAUGAUACGCGAGGAACCUUACCUGGGCUUAAAUGUAGAGUGCAUUGGUGAGAAGUCAUCAUUUUCUUCGGAACUCUCUGCAAGGUGCUGCAUGGUUGUCGUCAGCUCGUGCCGUGAGGUGUCGGGUUAAGUCCCAUAACGAGCGCAACCCUUAUCGUUAGUUGCCAGCGGGUAAUGCCGGGGACUCUAGCGAAACUGCCGGUGUAAACCGAGAGGAAGGUGGGGAUGACGUCAAAUCAGCACGGCCCUUAUGUCCAGGGCUACACACGUGUUACAAUGGCCGGUACAGAGGGCAGCUACCUGGAGACAGGAUGCGAAUCUCGAAAGCCGGUCUCAGUUCGGAUCGGAGUCUGCAACUCGACUCCGUGAAGCUGGAUUCGCUAGUAAUCGCGCAUCAGCCAUGGCGCGGUGAAUACGUUCCCGGGCCUUGUACACACCGCCCGU
This 872-nucleotide ribosomal RNA is filed under the name uncultured bacterium. RNAcentral describes it as "bacterial SSU rRNA". It matches the Rfam family "Bacterial small subunit ribosomal RNA", at positions 522 to 1397 of the family's 1533-position model. The record is from RNAcentral.